Long non-coding RNA from Dermochelys coriacea (leatherback sea turtle), 2106 nucleotides. RefSeq lists it as uncharacterized. The record is from RefSeq and is a predicted model, not a curated record. Lineage: Eukaryota; Metazoa; Chordata; Testudines; Dermochelyidae. The transcript is spliced from 6 exons.
AAGAAUGUAAAGUUUUCCACUGCCCUUUAAGAUCUGAAGAUUUAACAGAGAAUAGUUUGUCCUGAAGCUGGGAGUGCCUUUCCUGGGAUGGUAGCUGACUAGGUUUUGUUGAGGGAGAGAGAAUAAUGGUGAGCUGAGAAAUACCAAGAAUAACUGCUUCAGUAUCUUAAAAAAGUUCAUUUUUCUUCCUCUGCAUGCAGCUGCAAAUCAAAUCCAUUAUGGAUCAUUUAAAUUCUAUACUUCCAGCUUUGCAUGUGUAAUGCCAAAAGCAGUUCUGCCAUUGCUUUUUUUCUUAAUAAGAAAAAAAUUCACUGCUGCUGUUACCUAGAAAGUAAGGAGGAGACAGAUGAGAAAAAUAAGGAAAUUAUAGUCUCCUCACUAAUACCUCCCUUAAUGUUUGCAAGAAGGAGGCUAGUACAAUUGCGCCGUAUUUUAAGACAAAUUAUUUUAAGUGCAUUGAGUGUUAUUUUGAAAGUUGGAUUUGCACUUACUGAGGCUCUGCAUUCGUAACACUGUCUCAGGGAGCAGAGUAUGGUGAAGAAUGAUUGCUAUUACAAGAGCAAUUAUAACAUGAUUCAGCAUAGUUAGGAGCUAAGUUAUACGAGUGUGAGUGAGUGUAGGUAUAGGGGUGGGUGUGGUUUCUUCCAAAUAUCAGAAAGCAAAAUUGUUUCUCUCUAGUAAUCUCUGUAGUUUUUCCACCAGCUUUCAACCUUAUUGUGAAGUUUGUUAGACCAAUGAUUUUUACACAUGAUGGUACUGCUGAAAAACAACAACAGUGUGCUACAGAAUAGUCUCCCAAGAGAAUCAGUAGAACCUCAAUCACUUGGUACAUCUAAAAUAGACCAGACAAAAACACUAGUAGGUGUGAGUCAGGAACAAUCUCACACUGGGAAGGAGAUGGACUAGAUGACUGGUUUUUCCCCCCGUUCUAAUUUCUGUGAUUCUGAAGGACUCCAGUCUGUGUUGUUCUUCUUUCACUUUCAGUUGCAACCCCACUGAAAAAGGGAAAGUUCCAUGGGGGUUUCUUGAGCCUGUUCCUAUGCUGCUGCCCCUAAAAGGACAGAGGGGAAACAGCAAGAAGGAGAUCUGAAGUUCAGGACAGCAGCAGAGACAAGAGGAACUUGUCCUUCGAUCUCCUGGAGAUAGGAAGGCAGAGUCACUUUUGUGAGGGUGAAGGGCUGCUCUCAGUGUCUUCCUAAGCCCUACUGGUGCAAAAUACCACUCAAGCACAAUUUAUAAACUCUGCAGCACGGAAAAGCAACAGUCAUUGCACAGGUCCAAAAUGCCACAGGAAUAUGCAGCAUGGGAGUUCUGAAAUUUAGCCACCUCCACUUCUAAUCCUCCUUGCCUAUCACCAGCUGGCCCAUACAAACCAAAAUGCCUCCUUUCUUGCGCCGCACCUGAGAUGCACAGGAGUGUUAUUCCUCAGCUAGGAUGCAAGGAAUAAUGGUGAGUCAUGCACAUGGACACAGGAUCAGAAAACCUUCCAUUCUGCAAAUGGUAAUAUUAAGGUCAGAAGAAGGAUGGAACUAUCACCUGUAUGACACAAUACUCUCUGAUCAAAGACCCAUAUUCAUGGCUUCAACUCCUCAAGCAUUCUGAUAUUCAGCAAAAUGAAGUGCCUGGCAUGUCCUAGAGGUUAACUUCAAGAAAAAAAGCACAAGGUCUGGAGAUGAUGGCCUGUUGAGCUACCUACGAGACAAAGUAAAUUGGAAGCUGUGCCAGUUACUGAUGACUGACAGGUACACCCUGCCUCCUGGACUGCAAAGAUUGGAAUGGUGAAGUGGGGCAGCCGGUAGCUACUUACCUGUUGCUAAUUGACCUACUCUUCUAUCGUUCACGGUGGUGACAAGGAAAGACCCAAGACAUCUUCCAUCUGACGGGUCAACUGUUCAGCAAUGCUGGGACAGGAAAAGACCCCAAUCCUGCUACUGCAGCCUUUCAUUGACAGAAGACCGUGGACUAACACUGAGACCAGAUUGCACUGUGCAGUAACUCUUGAAAUGUCUCUUUCUGCUGGCUUUUUUAAUUUGCCUUUUGUUUCUGGAAUUGUUGUUCCACCCAUUAUUAUUUCUUCCUUGAAUUAUGAAACUGAAUAUUGUAGUG